Non-coding RNA from Nothobranchius furzeri (turquoise killifish), 2960 nucleotides. NCBI's taxonomy places the organism in Eukaryota, Metazoa, Chordata, Actinopteri, Cyprinodontiformes, Nothobranchiidae. The record is from RefSeq and is a predicted model, not a curated record.
AGUUAUAUAUAUAACUAGAAACUAUAAUACAUUACUAUAAUAUAUAACUAGAAAAACCAAAUGAGUGUAUUUCCGGGCGGGGUUAAAGUGUGAUUGUCAGGUCUUCGCUCCAAUCAGCGCUCGUUACCCGUUAGCUCAUGGUAGCAUUAGCUAAAAAUGGCGUAGAGCGGAUCGUCCACAGAGAAGAGGACAAGAGGACCUUCUCUCCUCCUCGGUGUCCACCGGGGGGAGAGAAGGGGCUCCCUAACUUUUGGCUGAAUCCCUUCUGGAUGAGUCUUCGUCGACGCUUUUCCUGAAAUAAAAGGCAGAGGAGUUUUCCGGCUUGAGCAGAUCAAAGGUUUGUGUCACCGCAGAGGAUGAGAGGAAGAUCCCCCGGCUUUUGUUUUCCGCUGCGAGCAGCUGCAGCCCCGAGGAAACGUCUCCGUAUCACUUCAGACCCUCUCACAACAGGCUCAGACCAGGACAUGUGGCGCCCAUCAUUGCUGAAACUGCAGCACCAACAUAAGUCCACCUCCUCCAACACCUGCAAACAGAAGACCGAUGUUCUCCAGAUGAUCUCAUUUGUGGCUUUUCCUUUCUGCUGUUUUCUGGGAUGCUGGCUAUCUCAUCUCCACGGCACCCCCUUCCUCUGCUGGCCUGUUUCUGCAGCCUAAUUAUCAGUGAGGACAGCUGCCAAGCUACUGGGUUGUCUAUGGCUAGUGAACUAGACCAAACUCUUGCUUUGCAAAGUUAAAUAAUAUAUUUAUUAGUCUGGCUUGCCAGGCUAGUGGUGUCUACCACUAAGAUGCAUAGUCUGGAUGUGUUCCACACACACUCCUGUAGCUCCAGUUCUGUAGCUGAUGAGUUGGGAGAUUCUGCAUGGCUAAACUUGCCCUGAAUUCUCUGGGGUGAUAGCUGGAUGAGAUUCCUGCAUGUGGCUGCUUGUACUUCCCAAAAAUAGCAAGAAAAAAAUCUUUGCACUAAAUGCAAUUAAAAUAAAAGAAGUUUGAUUUUUUUUUUAAUUCUCCCAUUUUCUGUAAAGACACAACAUACUGUAGCAAAGAUCAAGGACUGUGAUUUAACAUGGAUUCGUUGUUUUGGGUUGUUUUUCGCCCCACUACCUCAUUGCCUCAGCAAGUCCAAUAGAAGGGAAAAUGGGAGCGAUACGAACAAGUAGCAUAAGGGUUGUUGAGCACCACAGUCGUCAUCUAAACUGUCCCAAAGUGAUUUUGGAAUCAAUAUCGGAUAGAAAAAUGGCGGGUUAAUAGAAAAUAUGCAUAAUGACACUUUUCAGUUCAGCUUUUCUUUAUAACUCAACUAGCUUCUUGUGCAUCAUAGUUUUUUUUUUUCAUUCAUUUGUCUCAGACUCACUAUGAUUUCAUUGGUCAGUUCUAAAAGUUGCAACAAAAAAGACAAAAUUAGUAUUUCCAUGACUAAAAUGGGACUUUUUGUGUCUUCACUCCUAUUGUGUUCCAGUUUUCCUUCAUUUUGACUCAGUUUUGUAAUGAAUUAAUUUGUGUUUCUAAACAAUUGGCCUAUUUUCCUUUGUGCCAUAAGUCAUGUAAUGUUCAAAAAGAUCACUACCGGGAUCUGUGCAAUAUCUGAUCUUAACUGUCAUGUUGUUGACCAAACUGUAUAUUGUAUAAACAAGUGACAAGUUGUUUGAAAGCAACAAAAUCACCAAUGUCUUCCAUUAAGAUAUGUAUAGACUCAUGUGCGUUAGCUUAUUUAGCAGGAAUGUGGUGCCAACAUUAUCGUAGCCGUGCAUGACCAGUAGUGAUGCUUGCUUCAUCAAAGAUGUUUGGUUUUCCUAGGCUAAGCUGGGAGUUUGUAUCCUUUUUAGAAAAGAAACGAACGCUAGAUUGAAGUUCUGUACCCUUAGAUACAGCUAAAUCUAGCGAGUGAUCAUUUCACAGCAUGUUUAGGCCAGGCAGUGACAAAAUCAGGGUAUAAAAUUAGGUUGUACUGUUUUAAACGUAUAUGUUAUACUUAAGAACAAUAGCUACGAGCUUUCUGAUAGCUGCUUAAAAGAAAAUGAACACAACAGCUCAAAUUUCUAGAGCGUGAAUCUGAUUGGAUGGGAUCUGUUGUGUUGUAGGCCUAUAAUUAAAAUAUAAUGUACAUAUUGACCUCAUUGUUUUUGGAUUCAGAGUGUUCUAUUUUAAUCCAUACAAUUGUAUUUGGAUAUAGUUUUAGAAGCAAUAACCUAUAAUAAUGUGUAGCAGAAUAUAGUUGAAACGGAAAGCCCCUUUUCAUUGUUUUUUAUUGUUUUAUUUUUAGCCAUCUUUAGCUUUAAAUACUUCCUCUCAACUAACCGGAACUCUAAAAAGGCUUAAGUAUCGAAUCUCAGUAGCAUUUCUAAAGCUCCAAAUAAAUAACAGCAGCCUUUCAAGUAACCCUGUGGCCGAGAAGAACUCUCAGAACAACCCUGGCGUGAAAAGCACUUUCUAUGUAUUGACUUGCACCGUCAUUGUUGCCAUCAUGUCUUCAAUGCUGUGUUCUAGAAACCAUGUAAUGCCAUUUCUGGUCAUUUAUAAUCCGACUUUUUAAGCAAGUAGACGUCCAGGUGACAUGUGGGUUUAAAAAAUAUGCAUGAAUUAGCAGAAAAUUUAUGAAAUGUAUUGCAUGCAAUAAUCCAACUUUGUAAUGUGAAUGAGUGUAAUUAGGAUAUGGAGGUGUUUGUUCAGCAGCUGCGCUGAUGUAGCUGCUAGUCAUAAGAACAGCCGUGUCUGCUUCAGUGCAGCUGAGAAACGCAACAGUCGUUGUUCCCUUGUGAAAAGUAGCAACAAAGCUAAAGUGAGACUAAUAAAACGACAACUUUUUCCACAGAAAUGGUGGACUGUGUAGGAACUAUGCACUCCAGAGGGAGGAAAUGGGCAUGAUUAUUAUGUGUGAGCCUCUUAUCUGGUUUUGUAAUUAUUAAAGAAAAAAAUCGAGUAUCAGAAAUUCAGCAAUAAAAUGCAGCAUGGUGCCAAUUGGAA